ACUGUAACUAAUGAUGGGGUCACCAUCUUAAGCGUGAUGGAUGUCAGUCAUCAGAUUGCCCAGUUUGAUGGUGGAAAUGUCUAAGUCUCAGGAUGAUGAAAUUGGAGAUGGAACCACAGGUGUGGUUGUCGAGAGUAUGGAUACCCGUCGUAUCUCUGUGUUACAUUUUCGUAAUCCUCACACUGUCAAACUUUUUCAUUAUGAUCUUAUUUGUUAUAGUGAUUUGUGAUUGGUGAUCCUUGAUGUUAUUAUUGUACUUACUUUGAGGUGCCAUGAAUUGUGCCCAUACAAGACAGCAAACCUAAUUGAUAAACAUUGUGUGUGAUCUGACUGCUCCACCUACCGGCCAUCCCCCCAUCUCUCUCCCUCUCUUCAGGCUUUCCUAUUCCAAGACACAACAAUAUUAAAUUAGGACAAUUAAUAACCCUUCAAUGGUCUCUAGGUGUUUAUUCAAGCGAAAGAAAAAGUCGCACAUCUCUCACUUGAAAUCAAAGCUAGAACUGAUUCUGCUUAGCAAGGGAGGUGUGUUUGGGCAAGACAGACUGAAAGCUAGGCCUCAUGUCAAACAGCCAAGUUGUGAAU
This 582-nucleotide long non-coding RNA is filed under the name Homo sapiens (human). RNAcentral describes it as "non-protein coding lnc-NDFIP2-17:1". The record is from RNAcentral. Lineage: Eukaryota; Metazoa; Chordata; Mammalia; Primates; Hominidae.